ACCCCAGGUGUGUGCUGGAGAUGCAGAAAUGCAGGGAGGGAUUCUGCAAUGAACUGGAGCCUCAGGUGAGUUUCUCACUAGUGGUCUGGUUUGAUCCUUGUGGAGGGGUCGCUGGCCUGCACAGAAAGUCUAUGACACUAAAAGUGAGCUGAGUAGCAUCCUUAGUUGCUUUCCUCAAAGAAAUGGAAGGGAAAACUCUAGCAUUUUCCAUAAUGCCUUGACUUGAUAUUUUUUGAGCCCACAUUUCCAGCUUUCUUGGGGCAGAGGAGAUCACAGCAGGGCUUGCUCUUCAACCUCAUGCAAGGAAGGGACAAAAGGGCUUAGCUUCAAACUACCAUUCCAAAGUAAGGUCCACUAGCACUUUUUCUAAAAAGUAUCUUACUUUUGACUCUCAUAGAAGGGAACCAUCUAGGAAGGAACUUGGAGAGUCAGUCUUUCUCCACUUCCUGUUUGACUCUGGUGUGGGGGUGGGAUGUGAGUGAAUGGCACACAGGCCUGCCAGUGAAGAGGAACCUUAACCUGUCUCCACAGACCACCCCUCCCCCAUUUACUCUGCCUUCAAGUAACUCAGUUGACUCAUAGGCCAAUGCCAAGGUCACCCUGCUGCUCUUUUCCCACUCAUUCUCAGGAGAGAAUGUCUUCC
Molecule: long non-coding RNA, 643 nt
Filed under: Marmota monax (woodchuck)
Lineage: Eukaryota; Metazoa; Chordata; Mammalia; Rodentia; Sciuridae
Source: RNAcentral